CAACUUUUAACAACGGAUCUCUUGGUUCUCGCAUCGAUGAAGAACGUAGCAAAGUGCGAUAACUAGUGUGAAUUGCAUAUUCAGUGAAUCAUCGAGUCUUUGAACGCAUCUUGCACUCAUUGGUAUUCCAAUGAGUACGCCUGUUUCAGUAUC
RNAcentral lists this ribosomal RNA (153 nucleotides) under Mucor heterogamus. RNAcentral's name for it is "5.8S ribosomal RNA". It matches the Rfam family "5.8S ribosomal RNA". From Rfam's summary of the family: 5.8S ribosomal RNA (5.8S rRNA) is a component of the large subunit of the eukaryotic ribosome. Lineage: Eukaryota; Fungi; Mucoromycota; Mucoromycetes; Mucorales; Mucoraceae. The record is from RNAcentral. RNAcentral also lists the same sequence under 6 other names.